RNAcentral lists this ribosomal RNA (274 nucleotides) under uncultured bacterium. Its description in RNAcentral is "partial 16S ribosomal RNA". It matches the Rfam family "Bacterial small subunit ribosomal RNA", at positions 523 to 796 of the family's 1533-position model. The record is from RNAcentral.
ACACGGAGGUCGCAAGCGUUGCUCGGAAUCACUGGGCGUAAAGCGGGUGUAGGCGGUCUAGCAAGUCAGAUGUGAAAGCCCACGGCUCAUCCGUGGAAGUGCAUCUGAAACUGCUAGACUUGAGUGCCGGAGAGGGAAGUGGAAUUCCUGGUGUAGGGGUGAAAUCCGUAGAUAUCAGGAGGAACACCGGUGGCGAAGGCGACUUCCUGGACGGCCACUGACGCUGAGACCCGAAAGCGUGGGGAGCAAACAGGAUUAGAAACCCCUGUAGUCC